This 497-nucleotide ribosomal RNA is filed under the name uncultured bacterium. RNAcentral's name for it is "partial 16S ribosomal RNA". It matches the Rfam family "Bacterial small subunit ribosomal RNA", at positions 28 to 507 of the family's 1533-position model. The record is from RNAcentral.
GACGAACGCUGGCGGCGUGCCUAAUACAUGCAAGUUGAGCGCUGAAGGUUGGUACUUGUACCAACUGGAUGAGCAGCGAACGGGUGAGUAACGCGUGGGGAAUCUGCCUUUGAGCGGGGGACAACAUUUGGAAACGAAUGCUAAUACCGCAUAAAAACUUUAAACACAAGUUUUAAGUUUGAAAGAUGCAAUUGCAUCACUCAAAGAUGAUCCCGCGUUGUAUUAGCUAGUUGGUGAGGUAAAGGCUCACCAAGGCGAUGAUACAUAGCCGACCUGAGAGGGUGAUCGGCCACAUUGGGACUGAGACACGGCCCAAACUCCUACGGGAGGCAGCAGUAGGGAAUCUUCGGCAAUGGACGAAAGUCUGACCGAGCAACGCCGCGUGAGUGAAGAAGGGUGUCGGAUCGUAAAACUCUGUUGGUAGAGAAGAACGUUGGUGAGAGUGGAAAGCUCAUAAAGUGACGGUAACUACCCAGAAAGGGACGGCUAACUACGUG